Molecule: ribosomal RNA, 253 nt
Filed under: uncultured bacterium
Lineage: Bacteria
Description: partial 16S ribosomal RNA
Rfam family: Bacterial small subunit ribosomal RNA
Source: RNAcentral
UACAGAGGGUGCGAGCGUUAAUCGGAAUUACUGGGCGUAAAGCGUGCGCAGGCGGUGAUGUAAGACAGAUGUGAAAUCCCCGGGCUCAACCUGGGAACUGCAUUUGUGACUGCAUCGCUGGAGUGCGGCAGAGGGGGAUGGAAUUCCGCGUGUAGCAGUGAAAUGCGUAGAUAUGCGGAGGAACACCGAUGGCGAAGGCAAUCCCCUGGGCCUGCACUGACGCUCAUGCACGAAAGCGUGGGGAGCAAACAGG